AGGAUGAACGCUGGCGGUAUGCUUUACACAUGCAAGUCGAACGCAAGUUUUUAACUUGAGUGGCGGACGGGUGAGUAACACGUGAGAAUUCGCCUUUAGGCGGGGAAUAACUAUGGGAAACCAUAGCUAAUGCCCCAUAUGCUCGUAAGAGUGAAAGGAGAAAUCCACCCAAAGAGAAGCUCGCGGCUGAUUAGCUAGUUGGUGCGGGUAAUGGCUCACCAAGGCGAUGAUCGUUAGCUGGUCUGAGAGGAUGAUCAGCCACACUGGGAUUGAGAACGGCCCAAACUCCUACGGGGGGCAGCAGUGAGGAAUCUUCGUCAAUGGGCGCAAGCCUGAACGAGCGACGCCGCGUGGGGGACGACGCAUUUCGGUGUGUAAACCCCUUUUCCGAGGAAGAGAAGGGACGGUACGUCGGAGAAUAAGCAUCGGCUAACUACGCGCCAGCAGCCGC
Molecule: ribosomal RNA, 451 nt
Filed under: uncultured bacterium
Lineage: Bacteria
Description: SSU rRNA
Rfam family: Bacterial small subunit ribosomal RNA
Source: RNAcentral